This is a long non-coding RNA of Helianthus annuus (common sunflower), 448 nucleotides long. RefSeq lists it as uncharacterized. The transcript is spliced from 2 exons. Lineage: Eukaryota; Viridiplantae; Streptophyta; Magnoliopsida; Asterales; Asteraceae. The record is from RefSeq and is a predicted model, not a curated record.
AACCGCCAGAACCGGGGAACCGAACCGGAACCGCUAGAUCCAAACCGUAUUUUUGUAUAUAGGGUCCGGUUCCGGUUCAUAAGUUUGGGUAAAAAUGGUUCCCGGUUCGGUUCCGGUUAAAGAAGCGCUCGAACUAGUUGGGAUUAAAAAAUAUUUAAAAUCCUAUUUUAUUAAUGGGUUUUUCAACAUUAUACGACCGUCCUAAUUCUUAUUCACUCCUCUUAUAUUCAUUCCACAAUCUCAUCUUUCAACUUCUAAUUCUUCUCCAUCUCUCAACCCUAACCCUAAUUGCUAUUAUACAAGUUCAUCUCCAUCAACACCCUGCAAAUACAGAUGUUUAUGAGAAGAUUGAGAGGAUGAAGAUCGAAUGAAGUUUGAAGAUGUUUGUUUUAAUUGUUAACACGAUGGUUGUAAUAGUUUUAUUUAGAGUUUGUUUUAUGGCUUGAAA